Centropristis striata (black sea bass) is the source of this 170-nucleotide long non-coding RNA. RefSeq lists it as uncharacterized. NCBI's taxonomy places the organism in Eukaryota, Metazoa, Chordata, Actinopteri, Perciformes, Serranidae. The record is from RefSeq and is a predicted model, not a curated record. The transcript is spliced from 3 exons.
UGGGAGUAGCCGAGGAACAGCUGUUGGUAAUAUUUGCCAUCAGCACUGCGUCAACUGAGUCUUACAAGGUCAAAGCUCUUUGCUACACCUGCGCACUCGAAGUCACAUGUGUACGAACGUAUAAAGUGACAUUAUGACGUGGCUCUUGAAGCAGUGGAAAAGCAGCAGUG